Non-coding RNA from Rattus norvegicus (Norway rat), 5920 nucleotides. NCBI's taxonomy places the organism in Eukaryota, Metazoa, Chordata, Mammalia, Rodentia, Muridae. The record is from RefSeq and is a predicted model, not a curated record.
UUUUGGUUCUUUUUUUUCGGAGCUGGGGACCGAACCCAGGGCCUUGCGCUUCCUAGGAGCAAACAGACUCUUAAGCAGUGAAUGACUGGGUGACAGUCAACUGGGAGGUUGCCCUCCAGCAGUAAAUGAUCUGAGAAGGUGCCUAGGUUUUGAUUUUCAUAGUCCUGUUGCUUUGUGUCAGAAUAAAUGGUAUGUGUCGUGUGUACAAUAAAAAUGACAAUGACAACCAAGUGACUUACUUAUUUCACACUUGUAUGGAUUAGCUUCUGAACCAGCUAGCCAUCUUUACUGUCUGUGUGCUUUGUAAGACUGAUCCCCGAAUUUGCUGGUCCUUCCCUCAACCAUAGUUUCCCAGAGAGACAAGAGACAAACAUGUACCUACUGACUUUCAAUGUUUGAAACAUGGUAAAAAAGAUUUAAGUGAAAAAUCGCACCAAGUUUUCUCAUGAAACACCAAUGGUUCAGUGGGCAAAGCGUUUGAGUCUCCAGAAACUGCCUAAAGCUAGACACCUUGGUGUUUGUUUGGUAAGUCAGCAUUUCUAUGGCAAAAUGUGAAACAGAGGCCAGGACAAUCCUCAGACAGUCCUUGGCCAGUUAGUCUGAGAUAUGUAGCAGCAGACAACAAAGAGACCUUGUCUCAAACAAGGCGGAAAAGAGGUACUGACACCCAGGGCUGUUCUCUGACCAUGCAGAUGCAUAGUGGUGCGUACAUGUGUUCUCUGGUCUUUCUCUCUCUCCAUCCCCUCACAGAUUGUUUUUUGUAAAAGGGACAAAUGUUCUUUAUCUGUCAAAGAAAUUAGCCACAAACUUAAUGCACCUAAGAGUAGUUUUAACUAUUCUUUCUAAUUGAAUCAUCAGAGAUUGUCUCUACAGCAUUGUUUAGACUACAGAACUGGACACCAAAUCCACUGAUAUAAGAUUAAUUAAAUUAUGGUUUAUGCCACUUGAAGAUCACAGAAAGGUUUCGGGGAGAAGCAUACAUUUUCAUGUUGCUAUGUUCAAAAAAAAGUAAGCUACAGAAAAAAAGUAGGAAGAAAAAGGCAAAUUUUAGAUAAAAAGAUGAUAGACAACGAGGUGAGUUUUCAUUUUAUUCUGUUUGCUUUUCAGUUUUCCCUUGCUGUCAUGGUACACAUCUGGGGUCAGAAAAGCACAUGUGUGCUUUUUGGCUAUCGAGGUCUAUCUUGUGCUCACAGGAGGGCAUGAGGACGGUGCUCAGAGGAGCAUUAUUUAGAAAGAAUCUCAGGAAGAGUGAAGAGAUACUCCAAGGGAGAAUCUGGAAAAGAAAGGGGUUUUGUUUUAUUUGGUGUUUUUGUUGUUGUUUUAACAUAUGGGGUGAAAUUUCUGGAGAGACACAAAGAGAGAAACCAACAGUGAGAGAAAGAAAGAAGGAAGUGGAAGGGAAAAAAGAACGGAAGAGGUAAGUGGGUAGACAAAUACUUUGAAAGACAGAGAUGACAGUGUAACAGUAGUCAACUACGAGACUAAAUCAACAGAUUUUCAGUAAUCUUCCUGACGUAGAAAGACUUAACAAUUCACCUCUUUCAACACCCUUCAUUAGUAGAUUUCCUCAUCUUAUUACAAUAAAUCAUGAGCUCAAUUAUACAAGUAGAGUCUUUUAUCACUUUUCUAUGCCUGCAUUUUUAUUCUUUCUAAUCCCGUUUCAUUUGUUUGGUUUUGCUUGUUUUUCUUUUUUUUAAAGAGAAGUAUUCAAUAGAACAUGAGGUGUGAGUUGCCUUCCAUGAAAUUUACACGCGGGAUGGAAAUAUCGCUAUAGAGCUCUGGGUCUUUCCUGGGAGCUGAAACAGGAAGUUUCAGGACAGCUGGAGCUUUCACAGGAGAUGGGGAGGACACUUUGAGUCAGAAGAGUAAUUAGCUCCAAAGACUUGCAUCUCAGAGUCACUUUACAUAGAGAUCUCUUCACACCUAGAGCAUCAUCAGCGAAGCGGCAGCUCCCAGAAGGGCCUAUUACCGGGCUGCUUUAGAUGAAGUUCCGGAAGACAUCUUGAACAAUGGAAGACCACAUGCGCGGCCGUAGCUAUGGUUACUCCUCACUCCCACGUUCAUGCCACAGCAGAUUCGCCUUACUCUCUACAUUUGUCAUUAAUGAAACAUUGCAUUUGAGAAGAUGACACCAAGAAGGAGAAGAAUAAUCAGUUUUCUCCAAUGGAGUGACACAGGGGAUAUCAACUCUAGGACGGGCCUCAUCUUCAGAAGUAACUGACCAGCAUAUAAUGGACUCCAUGGGCUUUUGUGGGCUUUUAUUUGGUUACAGUUCCAUGUUUUGCUGUUUUUUUUUUCUUGGAGGGAUGGCGUCUGACCAUGGAGCAGUAGACCUGAAUCUGUGGGCAGUGGCCGGUCUCACUGCACCCACAUCAACAGUAUCGGGGACCUGGUUAGAGAUGUGGUGCUGACGCUCCUCAGGCCUACUAAAUAGGACUGAGCUAAUGGAAUUCUCAGAUGACCACUUCUCAUUAAAGUUGGAAAAAAAUGUGUUCUGGAGGAAAACCAGGUAUAGACGUUGAGGCAGCAGACAGAAGAGGUUCAGUGCCUUUCAUCCACAAAGUGGACUAUAGGGGCAUACAACACCUUAAGAGACAUGGGUGGCUAUGACCGGUCCUCCAAUCAGGGGAGUCUCUUGGUCGGAAGGUGCCUUUGAGCUAGCCUGGCUCAUGGAUAGUGCUGGGAGAACAAGGUGGAUUCACACUUAAAAUUUUUUUCUGUUUCAUCGGAAAAGAAAAGUGUGUUCUUUCUUAAUUACAUAAUUAAAGGAACAUGACUUUAAUAAUUACCUGUUCUAAACCUCCAUAUUUUUAGAUAUGUAUUUAAGUUUUUCUUCCUCCUUUUUUUCCCUCAGUCUAUAAUGGAAGGCUUUUGCUUCUGAACAGUAGCAUUGUUCUGAGCAGUGUUGUUCACAAACUCUCACCAUCAUGUUAAUCUUAAGCUCUAGGCUAGGACCAUGUCUACCUACCUUUGGGCCGUGUGUGUGUGUGUGUGUGUGUGUGUGUGUGUGUGUGUGUGUGUGUGUGUGUUAAUGCUGGUGGUCACACUGCCUAGCCUACCCUCAGAUCUGUGAUAAUCAUCCUGCUUCAACAGGAUGUGAACCAGCAUGCCAUGUUGUCUGUUAACCUUGUAAUUCUCUUCCCUGAUCUUAAAUGCUUGGUACCUGGUGAAAACCCAAUAAACAUUUUUUUUAAAAAAAAUAAUGAAUAACAUUAUAGAUAUCUAGAAGAUAAAUCCUUCAACCAUGGAAGGAGUAUUCUGUAAGAUGCUCAUUAAUGGGCCAAUUCGUUUUUAUAUUUUCCUAACACAUUCUGUACAAAUAAACCUGUCAGGUCGUAAAAUACCAGGCCAAAUGUAACUGUCAGUUUGAAAGCACUGGCAUAGUGUUGUAAAGCAGUUACUAUGAAUCACAUGUGUGUGCAUGCUCUGUGCACACAGUCAUGAAUUAUUUUCUGUCAGUAUUUGGCAGACAUUUAACAAGUUUUCUGUUUUCCAAUUUUACAAUAAAAUACAUGCUGGAAAACACUGAAAAGGAUUACACACACAGACACAGACACACAGACACACAGACACAGACACAGACACAGACACAGACACACACACACACACACACACACACACACACACACACACACACACACACACCACUGUUCCUCUUGCUGGCAUUAUAAGUUGGUUAAUUCACUUGAAGAAUAAUGGGUCCUACACUCACAUUCACAUAAUCCCACAUACUUAUCUAAUUAAAAUAAAACAAAAAACUUUUUAAAAAAAUUAAAAGACUAAUGGAUCUAUGCAAUCAUUAUUAAAUAUCUUGAAAUAAAUAUUUCCUGGCCUGAGAAGAAAAUAAUCUUCAGAAGGCUCUAGAUUACCAAAUGCUAUUUGGGGAGGGUUAGAAUUCUUUUCUUAAGGAGCACUGGUGUUCUUAUUCCAACCCAAUUGCUUAUUGGUUAGGUUUCCUCAUAGUUUGAAUAACACUGUAGUUUUCAUUUGUUCCCACUGUGUGUGUGUGUGUGUGUGUGUGUGUGUGUGUGUGUGUGUGUGUGUGUUUGAACCUGGAUAUAUACCUAAAUUGGCUGACCAGUGAACCCCUACCAUUCUCCUUUUUUGCAUUCCCAGAACUUGGAUUUCAAGCAUAUGAGAGCCAUACCUGGCUUUUUAAUGCAGGCACUGGGGAUUGGAAUCAGGUCUCCGUGCUUGUAUGGCAAGCACUUUACCAGCUGUGUCAUAACCUGGUCCCCUUUCAAUAUUUCAAUCUAUGGUUAAUAUAGACUGGGCAGACUAUCCUAAGAUUAAUUUGAAAGUCUAAAGUUAAAUAUAAUUGAUGUAAUAGAGGAGAACAGAUUUUAUUUUAUCUCAAGUAUAUUUUAAAAGAUGCUCUUAAAAUCGGGCUGUCAUCCCUUUCUUCAGAAUGGUAUAUUAAAAAUUGCUUUGUUUCACAAAGAAAACAAACAAGUAAAUAUUUGCCCCAGAUAGAAAUUCGUGUAUCUUCUAUGUUAAAAAGACUAUGCCAGCAGAAUUCCAAGUAAGUAGAUAUUAGUUGAUAUUCACAUAUCUUAUGGCUGUCUCAUGGUGUGGAUAGGUUUUCGUGAUUAAUUGACUCUACAAGUGUGCGCAAUACAAUCUUGAAAUGCUUUGCUCAGCUGAGUGUCAGGACUCAUCCUCCAUAGUCUUGGAUGCAGGCAUCCUACCAUUCUCGGCCUGCCUGGUGAAGCCCUUCCGGCACUGUCGCUGUGAGUUUUGCUUUUGUAUCAGAUGUGAACCGGGAGAAAAUGCACUGGAUCCCAGUGCUGUCCUAUUAGUGUCACUGCCAUCACAAUCCUGUCUCAUGUAGAGUACAUGGAAAGGACCCUGUGCUAGGGUAGUGGCCUACCUGAACUCUCGGCUUUGACUGGUGACAACUCUUUUAUUAUCCAGGUGCCCCUUUGCAAAUAGGGAGGGACGUCUCCAUUUUGUUACCUCACCAGGGACUGUGGUUAAAUCUGACCAAGCCUAUGACUGCCUGACAAACUUGAGUGUCACAUAAGGACUUGUUAGUACAGACGCUCCAGCUUGUGGGCCGAUUGAUGCAUUCUUUCCAGCUUUGGUUUUGUAAUUAUAGGUGGAUGAAUUUUAGCAGUUUUAAUUAUAUUCUUCCUUGAUUUAUACCAAAAUGUUAAUUUCUUUUGGAUUAAAUAAGCUUUAUAUGAAUUAAUUUGACCCUCCUCCGUCUUAAAAAAAAACUAUUAGGAAUUUCAUUAGAUUUAAGUAACAUGGAAUUUGAUUACAUAGAAUAUUCUGGGGCUCAGCCUCAGCAGGCCGGGGUACAAGGCAGCUGAUUACAACUUAAGCAUUGUUUCAAUGUGAUCUUGCAAAGGAUUUCAUUAAGUGCAGAUUAGUGCAUUUAUUAAGCUGUUGAUAAUUGAAGCCUCUUUGGUUUGGUAAGUACCAUCCAGUGAGGUAGAUUAGUGAGGUUUAAUUCGUUGCUCUCAAAUAGUAAAUGAAGACUUAGCAGAAUAAUUACAUCUCCUCUGUGGGCUAAUAAAGAUGACAUUGCAAUGGCACUUCUCCCUCCUUAUGCAUUUGUGUGAUUUCCAUUAGGACAUUGGGUGGGGGUUCCUCUUAUGUCUCAAGAGAAGGCCAAACCUUAUCAUCUGUAAAUGAUCAGACGUAGUCACCUAGAGUGGGUAGGCGCAAGAGAGAGGUGAAGUUUGGAUAUUGUAAGAAUGUAAGGUGCCUGCUUAGCCCAAAGACAGAGCAUUAAGCCAUCUCCUUUCUCUGUGUACUCGCACUUUUGAUGACAGACUGACUUCUAAGCAUAGACUAAGGAGAAGCUGAAGAUGUAGUCAUCUACAGUGUGAGCGACAAGGAUCAGAAGUCAGAAUGAAAAGUACUACAGUAGAACUGAUAAUAAAUACAUAAACGAACAAAUAAUAAACAAUGU